This 588-nucleotide ribosomal RNA is filed under the name uncultured bacterium. Its description in RNAcentral is "bacterial SSU rRNA". It matches the Rfam family "Bacterial small subunit ribosomal RNA", at positions 102 to 685 of the family's 1533-position model. The record is from RNAcentral.
ACGGGUGAGUAAUGCUUAGGAAUCUGCCUAUUAGUGGGGGACAACAUUCCGAAAGGAAUGCUAAUACCGCAUACGCCCUACGGGGGAAAGCAGGGGAUCUUCGGACCUUGCGCUAAUAGAUGAGCCUAAGUCAGAUUAGCUAGUUGGUGGGGUAAAGGCCUACCAAGGCGACGAUCUGUAGCGGGUCUGAGAGGAUGAUCCGCCACACUGGGACUGAGACACGGCCCAGACUCCUACGGGAGGCAGCAGUGGGGAAUAUUGGACAAUGGGCGAAAGCCUGAUCCAGCCAUGCCGCGUGUGUGAAGAAGGCCUUUUGGUUGUAAAGCACUUUAAGCGAGGAGGAGGCUACUUGGAUUAAUACUCUAGGAUAGUGGACGUUACUCGCAGAAUAAGCACCGGCUAACUCUGUGCCAGCAGCCGCGGUAAUACAGAGGGUGCGAGCGUUAAUCGGAUUUGCUGGGCGUAAAGCGUGCGUAGGCGGCUUCUUAAGUCGGAUGUGAAAUCCCUGAGCUUAACUUAGGAAUUGCAUUCGAUACUGGGAAGCUAGAGUAUGGGAGAGGAUGGUAGAAUUCCAGGUGUAGCGGUGAA